Molecule: ribosomal RNA, 253 nt
Filed under: uncultured bacterium
Lineage: Bacteria
Description: partial 16S ribosomal RNA
Rfam family: Bacterial small subunit ribosomal RNA
Source: RNAcentral
UACGAAGGGGGCUAGCGUUGCUCGGAAUUACUGGGCGUAAAGGGCGCGUAGGCGGGUGUUUAAGUCAGAGGUCAAAUCCCAGAGCUCAACUCUGGAACUGCCUUUGAUACUGGACACCUAGAGUACGGGAGAGGUGUGUGGAACUCCGAGUGUAGAGGUGAAAUUCGUAGAUAUUCGGAAGAACACCAGUGGCGAAGGCGACACACUGGACAUGUAUUGACGCUGAGGUGCGAAAGCGUGGGGAGCAAACAGG